UCCAAAGAAUCUGGAAAUGAUGAAUUAAUUGGUUCAAGAAGUAAGACAACUAGUAAAACUGAGUCACAUAAUGCCUGUAAUAGAUCCAGCAGUCAGACCAAGACUAGUACAACUAAGUCACAGAAUGCCUGUAAUAGCUCCAGCAGUCAGACCAAGACUAGUACAACUAAGUCACAGAAUGCCUGUAAUAGUUCUAGUCAAAAAGAUGAUUAUCAAAUACCGACACCGCCGAGAAAAGCAGCACCAGAAAAAGCACACGAGUCCAGAGAGAGUGGAAGUAAAGUCAUGUCAAAUUCAAGACAAACUGACAAACCAGACAAGAUCAGACAAGAUCGAUCAAGGUCAAGAGAGAGUGGAAGUUAAGUCAUGUCAAAUUCAAGACAAACUGACAAACCAGACAAAAACAGACAAGAUCGAUCAAGGUCAAGAGAGAGAAUCAGGUCAUGGUCAAGACUGACAGACUAUAGCCAAGACAGAUCAAGGUCAAGAUCUAUGUCAAGAUAGACAGACAAAGGACAAGGCAGAUCAAGAUCUAUUUCGAGACUGACAGAUGAAAGAGGAAACAGGUCAAGAUCUAUGUCUAAACAAUCCGACUAUAGACAAGACAGAUUAAGAUCUCUGUCAAGACGGACAGAUGAAAGAAGAAAUAGGUCAAGAUCUAUGUCAAGACGGUCAGACUAUAGACGAGACAGGUCCAGAUCUCGGUCAAGACAAACACACAAGACACUAACAGGUCACGACAGAAGGACAGUAGACGAGACAGAUCACGAUCAAGGUCAAGACAGACGGACAAUAGACGAGACCGAUCACGAUCAAGGUCAAGACGAGACAGGUCGGGACAGUCAGACAAUAGACGGGACUGCAUGACGUCAAGACAUAAGGACAGCAGACUACCCAGCUUGACGUCAAGACGGAAAUCCAGACAGAGUGACAGCACUCCAGCUAGACUGGAUUACGGACAAACCCCAUCAGCAUCAAGACAGAGAGACGGUAAAAAUGCACACAAAAGUUCUGAUGGCUUUCCCAUGCCUGAGGCCAAAUUUCAGAGAAAAGUGUUCCAACUCUUAUUGGAAUUGAGGACAGGGCUUAAUGAUCUGGCUGGGAGACCUAUACAAAAUGUAGGUGCAGGUGUAUGUCCUUUGCCUGACUUAUUAACAACAAAGGCAGACACAGAAGAAGACUUCAACAAUAUAAAUGAAUUGUUGAAGAGACCCCAAGAAAAAAAGACC
Long non-coding RNA from Mytilus californianus (California mussel), 1229 nucleotides. RefSeq lists it as uncharacterized. The transcript is spliced from 3 exons. NCBI's taxonomy places the organism in Eukaryota, Metazoa, Mollusca, Bivalvia, Mytilida, Mytilidae. The record is from RefSeq and is a predicted model, not a curated record.